Long non-coding RNA from Labeo rohita (rohu), 1393 nucleotides. RefSeq lists it as uncharacterized. The record is from RefSeq and is a predicted model, not a curated record. Lineage: Eukaryota; Metazoa; Chordata; Actinopteri; Cypriniformes; Cyprinidae. The transcript is spliced from 4 exons.
UUCAGGGUUCGUUUUAAGUAACUCUUACACAAUGCGGUUAUAUAAAACGCCACCAUGCAGAAGUGUGCGUUGGUUGAAGCGAGAUAGAAUAAGGCCUCGAGGUUUCAAAGGAUUUUUUUUUUUUUGCAACUAAAUUAUUCAGGAAUUUUUAAGAUAAAGUCAACUUCAGCAGAGCAGGACACGCAAUGGAGUGACCAUUAAAGUUUCACUGCUGCUCUCUGUGGAAGGCCCAGCGGCAGACGUUCUCCAGACUCUGAGAAGCGUUGCCCAGUUCAAUCAAACCCAUGGACUGACAAUACCAACACAAAGCAUAACACAAACACUCUCGCAACUCCAAAAGCUUUCAUGUUCAGACUGGGUGCCACUGAAGCAUGUCUCUCAGGCUCUGCCUGUGCCAAAACUGCUCGAGCGAGGGACAGCAUAAGAGAAGUAAUGAGAUAAUCCUGAAGGGCGAUUCACCAAUCAGAGAAGUCGCUGUUACUAUGGAAACCAAAAUCCCGGCACAAGAACUCACAAGUGACCACCCACUCCUAUCAAGCAUUGUGAAUGACAACUGAUUUUCCAGAUACUCUCACACAAAAUGCAAUGAAUAUUUUGCAAAAAACUUAAAAUAUAUGGCAUUUCAUACUAUGUUCAAUCACUUUAAGUUUUAUUCAAUAACUUUUUAAUGCCUGUAAUGAAAAAACAGCCAACCAUUAUACUACCAGCCUCACUUUUACAGUCAUCUAUCAUUUUUGUGUUGUUAAUCCAUAAAAUAUCUUUAGGGUGAAAACAAAUUAAAUAGAUACAAGAAACUUUUUUUUCUUUGGGAUCAGCGAUUCAGGAUUUCCAGAUCAAUACCCACAGAAUUGUUAAUGUGCAGUCUAAUUAGGCUGUUUGAGUAAAGUGUAAUUUAAAAAAAAAAUGCUCUUCUUUAGUUCCAUUCAGAUUUUACUUUCCAAACAUAUAGCACUUGUAGGGUAAUAUAUGUAAAUACAGUCUAUUAACAUGGUUCAGAAUGGAGGGAUCUUGACAAAUGUUCCUUGUUUUGGAAGAAGAAAAGCAGUGUACAUCUUCUCAUAAACUUCUUGGUUAUGCUGAAUAAUAAAACAGAAUUUGAUAAACUUCUAGCUCAUUUCUAAACAAGUACAGACACCCUAAUAUACAAACCAAAUGGGAAGUCAAACAAAUGCAUCAUAAAAGCAGAAAUGUUUACCGCCAAGACAACAACAAUUAUUUACUAGUGUAGAUGCUGCAAAACCUAGCAAAUGAAAAUCUGCAGAACAAAUAAAUGUAAGAAAUCCUAGAUAAAUUCUAUAACAACUAACAUUUGGGGCAAGUUAUACAAUCAUCUUGGAAUGUUUUAUUAUCUUGACAAAUUUUACAAAUUUAUCUAAAAGUGGGUCAUGGGCUU